RNAcentral lists this long non-coding RNA (384 nucleotides) under Rattus norvegicus (Norway rat). Its description in RNAcentral is "long non-coding RNA NONRATT022820". Lineage: Eukaryota; Metazoa; Chordata; Mammalia; Rodentia; Muridae. The record is from RNAcentral.
AGGAAGCUGAGUCUGUUUAGUACACAGCUGAUCAGAGUCGGCUGGGUUGAAGCCGCAGGACCAACUUCUAAGGGAGGGAAGGGCAGGAGUGCAGAGCCCGGAGUCCACAUCCGAGACCCCUAAGUCAAAGACAUUUCAACUACCCUCAACUCACCCUCAACUACUGGAAAAAUGCUGGCCACGCAUCUGGCUUCGUCAUCCCCUUGGAGUUCCUUCUGAUCUCCCUGCCUUUGGCAGCCUGGCUCCAGUGGAAUGUGCCCGCUGUGGUACCUACCAAGUUCAAGGAGAGGUCCUGGCGGUCCACCAAGACGCGCUGCUUUAGGCCCGGGAGGGUGGCAGAGGAAAGGAGGAAUGGACUGUGGACCACCUGCAACCCUCCAGCCU